GCGGAGCUGCCAGGUGCGUCAGGCAUCGUAUCCCCAGGGCCAAUAAGCGUCCUCCGGGAGCUGGCGCUGCCCGGAUCGUGGUCCGGGUAUCCGGCGCCCACCUGCGUUAGCAGGCCUUGGGAGGAUAGAACGCCAACGGCCAUGGCGGCUCCGCA
RNAcentral lists this non-coding RNA (155 nucleotides) under Roseomonas acroporae. Its description in RNAcentral is "6S / SsrS RNA". It matches the Rfam family "6S / SsrS RNA". From Rfam's summary of the family: E. coli 6S RNA was the first non coding RNA to be sequenced, but its function was unknown until recently. It consists of 184 nucleotides that fold into an extended hairpin structure with a large single-stranded internal bulge. The record is from Rfam by way of RNAcentral. Lineage: Bacteria; Pseudomonadati; Pseudomonadota; Alphaproteobacteria; Acetobacterales; Roseomonadaceae.